GCCACCUUAGCUCAGUUGGUAGAGCAAUAGUUUUGUAAACUAUAGGUCGUCGGUUCGAACCCGACAGGUGGCU
RNAcentral lists this transfer RNA (73 nucleotides) under Candidatus Parcubacteria bacterium. RNAcentral's name for it is "tRNA-Thr". It matches the Rfam family "tRNA". From Rfam's summary of the family: Transfer RNA (tRNA) molecules are approximately 80 nucleotides in length. Their secondary structure includes four short double-helical elements and three loops (D, anti-codon, and T loops). Further hydrogen bonds mediate the characteristic L-shaped molecular structure. tRNAs have two regions of fundamental functional importance: the anti-codon, which is responsible for specific mRNA codon recognition, and the 3' end, to which the tRNAs corresponding amino acid is attached (by aminoacyl-tRNA synthetases). tRNAs cope with the degeneracy of the genetic code in two manners: having more than one tRNA (with a specific anti-codon) for a particular amino acid; and 'wobble' base-pairing, i.e. permitting non-standard base-pairing at the 3rd anti-codon position. Lineage: Bacteria; Candidatus Parcubacteria. The record is from RNAcentral.